AAAGGGAGACCUAAUUCGGGUAUAAGACGAAAAAAUAGUAGUCGAAACCAAGAAUCAAUCCCAAAAGGUCGGAACGAGGUAUGUGGCUUCCAAACUAGGUUCUGGGUUCAUAAAAGACCUGAAUCAGGAACAAGGGCUAUUAGCUCAGGUGGUUAGAGCGCACCCCUGAUAAGGGUGAGGUCCCUGGUUCGAGUCCAGGAUGGCCCACCUGCACAGGUGGCAAAAACAAGAAAAGCGAGGAAUCAGCACCUUAUCCUAAUUUAUAUAUAGGAGAGAAUGCUGGCUCUGAGUAAAGAGUCCAGAGGAACCCCGAAAACUGCAUAGAGCUAGGUGAAAAAGCCAAAAAAGAAGACCGCAAG
Molecule: transfer RNA, 359 nt
Filed under: uncultured Microcystis sp.
Lineage: Bacteria; Bacillati; Cyanobacteriota; Cyanophyceae; Chroococcales; Microcystaceae
Description: partial 16S-23S ribosomal RNA intergenic spacer
Rfam family: tRNA (bases 134-207)
Source: RNAcentral